Unclassified non-coding RNA from Otolemur garnettii (small-eared galago), 308 nucleotides. Its record names the gene 7SK. It matches the Rfam family "7SK RNA". From Rfam's summary of the family: 7SK was discovered as an abundant small nuclear RNA in the mid-70s but a possible function has only recently been suggested. Two independent studies have found that 7SK RNA binds the CDK9/cyclin T complex (known as elongation factor P-TEFb). P-TEFb activates transcription by phosphorylating the C-terminal domain of RNA polymerase II. Lineage: Eukaryota; Metazoa; Chordata; Mammalia; Primates; Galagidae. The record is from Ensembl.
GGAUGUGAGAGUGAUCUGGCUGUGACAUCUGUCACCCCAUUGAUCACCAGGGUUGAUUUAGCUGAUCUGGCUGACUAGGGGGUGUCCCCCUUUUUCAUCACCCUUCAUGUGUGUCUCUCCCACUGUAUGUUUGGUGGAAGAGAAUGAUCUUCCCUGGUAGAAGAGGAUCGUUCUUCAGUCAAGGUAUAUGGAGAACCUCCAUACAAGUUCUCAAAAAAUGGUUGUUGAGAGAAUGCAUCAAUAAAAAGAGACAGCGAGGAGGUGGACAAUGAUUGUAUGCACAGUAAGAUUGAAAAACGGGACUUUCU